GAGUUUGAUCUUGGCUCAGGAUGAACGCUAGCGGCAGGCUUAAUACAUGCAAGUCGAGGGGCAGCAUGGUGUAGCAAUACACUGAUGGCGACCGGCAAACGGGUGCGGAACACGUACAGAACCUUCCUUCGAGCGGGGAAUAGCCCAGAGAAAUUUGGAUUAAUACCCCAUAGGAUAUUGGAGUGGCAUCACUUUGAUAUUAAAGAUUUAUCACUCGAAGAUGGCUGUGCGUCUGAUUAGGUAGUUGGUGAGGUAACGGCUCACCAAGCCAACGAUCAGUAACUGGUGUGAGAGCACGACCAGUCACACGGGCACUGAGACACGGGCCCGACUCCUACGGGAGGCAGCAGUAAGGAAUAUUGGUCAAUGGACGCAAGUCUGAACCAGCCAUGCCGCGUGAAGGAUGAAGGUCCUCUGGAUUGUAAACUUCUUUUAUAUGGGAAGAAAUCCUUGAAUUCUUUCGAGGUUGACGGUACCAUAGGAAUAAGCACCGGCUAACUCCGUGCC
This 507-nucleotide ribosomal RNA is filed under the name uncultured Sphingobacterium sp. RNAcentral's name for it is "bacterial SSU rRNA". It matches the Rfam family "Bacterial small subunit ribosomal RNA", at positions 9 to 509 of the family's 1533-position model. The record is from RNAcentral. Lineage: Bacteria; Pseudomonadati; Bacteroidota; Sphingobacteriia; Sphingobacteriales; Sphingobacteriaceae.